RNAcentral lists this ribosomal RNA (468 nucleotides) under uncultured bacterium. RNAcentral describes it as "partial 16S ribosomal RNA". It matches the Rfam family "Bacterial small subunit ribosomal RNA", at positions 28 to 507 of the family's 1533-position model. The record is from RNAcentral.
GACGAACGCUGGCGGCGUGCUUAACACAUGCAAGUCGAACGGAAAGGCCCUGCUUUUGUGGGGUGCUCGAGUGGCGAACGGGUGAGUAACACGUGAGUAACCUGCCCUUGACGUUGGGAUAACUUCAGGAAACUGGGGCUAAUACCGGAUAGGAGCUCCUGCUGCAUGGUGGGGGUUGGAAAGUUUCGGCGGUUGGGGAUGGACUCGCGGCUUAUCAGCUUGUUGGUGGGGUAGUGGCUUACCAAGGCUUUGACGGGUAGCCGGCCUGAGAGGGUGACCGGCCACAUUGGGACUGAGAUACGGCCCAGACUCCUACGGGAGGCAGCAGUGGGGAAUAUUGCACAAUGGGCGGAAGCCUGAUGCAGCAACGCCGCGUGCGGGAUGACGGCCUUCGGGUUGUAAACCGCUUUCGCCUGUGACGAAGCGUGAGUGACGGUAAUGGGUAAAGAAGCACCGGCUAACUACGUG